RNAcentral lists this long non-coding RNA (1589 nucleotides) under Oryctolagus cuniculus (rabbit). Its description in RNAcentral is "lncRNA (ENSOCUG00000038049.1)". The record is from RNAcentral. Lineage: Eukaryota; Metazoa; Chordata; Mammalia; Lagomorpha; Leporidae.
AUGGAACCUGAAGAAGAAUCCCUGAGCAGAGAAAGUGGACAGCAGAGGCAAGGUCAUCACCAAAGACGAUGGCAGAGUGGACAGUGCACUCCCGGGCCACAGCAGAGAGCUGGACUGGAAGAGGAGCAACUGGGACAGAAUCCGGAACCCCGACCGGGACUAGAACCUGGUAUGUGCCAACGCCGCGGAGGAUUAGCCUAAAAGAUUUUGUUUAUUUAUUUGAGAGUCAGAGCUAUAGAGAGAGAGAAGGAGAGUAAGAGAGAAAGGCCCUCAACCAUUGGCUCACUCCCCAAAUGGCCAUAAUGGCCAGAGCUGAGCCUAUCUGAAGCCAAGAGCCUGGAGCUUCUUCCGGGUCUCCCACAUGGGUGCAACCUCCCAAGUACUUGGGCCAUCUUCUACUGCUUUCCCAGGCCCAUAAGCAGAGAGCUGGACUGGAAGAGGAGCAGCCAGGACCAUGAACUUGUGCCCCUAUGGGAAUCAGUUGCCACAGGCAGGGGCUUAGCCUACUAUGUCACAGCACCGGCCCCUAAUUGUAGUUUUGAUUUGCAUUUUCUGAUGGAUAUUGAUGCUGAGAAUUUUAAAUAUAUUUGUUGGCUAUUUGUAUUUCUUCUUUUGAGUACUGUCUGUUGCAGUCCUUUGCCCACUUCUCAACUGAAUUUAUUUUUUUUGUUGUUGUUGUUGAGUUUUUAAGUUGCUGAUAUAUUCGAAUAUUAAUCCUUUAUCAGAUAGGUGGUUUGAAAAUAUGUUCCCCCAUUAUGUUGGAUGUCUCUUUUCUCUUUGAUGUGCAGAAGUUUCUGAGGUUGAUAUAUUCCCAUUUGUUUAGUUUUGCUUUUGUUGCCUGUUCUUUUUUGGGGGUCUUUUCAAGAAGUUGUUUCCUGCACCAAUGUCUUGGAGCAUUUCCCCUACAUUUUUUUUCCAGCAACUUCAUAGUCUCAGGUCUAUCUUGAGAUGAUUUUUGUAUAUGGUGAGAGAUAUGGAUCUAAUUUCAUUCUUCUGCAUAUAUUCAUCCAGUUUUGCCAACACCAUUUGUUGAAGAGAUUAUCAUUACUCCACUCUAUGGUCUGAGCACUUUUGUCAAAAAUCAGUUGGUCGAUCAAAGAAGGAGGUACCUUUCUCUGAAGGGAGGAGAGAACUUCCACUUUGCUUGUGGACCUGCCUAAAUACUGAUGAAUUUUGUGUACUCCAUCAUGUCAGGUGAUCACUGACAUCAUAAAUAAGAGUGUCAAUUGUUAAAUCAACAACAGGCAUCCCUGUGCACUUGUUCCCCAAGCAAGACCUCUGUCCUUAAUGAGCUGUACAAUGAGAAUUAAUGGUAAAACUUGUCUUCAAACAGUACUUUAUACUUUGUGUGUCUGUGUGGGUGCAAACUGUUGAAAUCUUAGUAUAGAGUUAGUCUUCUGUAUAUAUAUAUAAUAUAUAUAUAUAUAUAAUCAAAAAGGAAUCUUAACAAAGAAUGGAAUGGGAGAAGGAGUAGGAGGUGGGAUCGGAGUGGGGGUGGGAAGGUGGGUAUGGAGAGAAGAAUUGCAUAUUCUCAAAGCUGUACCUAUUAAAUUUAUAUUUAUUAAAUAAAAGCUUUCUAAAAACAAUCA